Molecule: transfer RNA, 70 nt
Filed under: Euxiphydria potanini
Lineage: Eukaryota; Metazoa; Arthropoda; Insecta; Hymenoptera; Xiphydriidae
Description: tRNA-Met
Source: RNAcentral
UAAAAGAUAAGCUAAAUUCUAAGCUUUUAGGUUCAUACCCUAAAUAUAAAUAAUAUAUUUUAUCUAAUAA